UCUCGGCUUAUCACCGGCAGUCCCCUUAGAGUGCCCAACUGAAUGAUGGCAACUAGGGGCGAGGGUUGCGCUCGUUGCGGGACUUAACCCAACAUCUCACGGCACGAGCUGACGACGGCCGUGCAGCACCUGUGCACGCUCCCUCGCGGGUCCUUCGGGUUUCCCCUCCGUACCACGUGCAUGUCAAGCCCGGGUAAGGUUCUUCGCGUUGCAUCGAAUUAAACCACACGCUCCGCUGCUUGUGCGGGCCCCCGUCAAUUCCUUUGAGUCUUAGCCUUGCGGCCGUAGUCCCCAGGCGGGGUGCUUACUGCGUUAGCUGCGGCACAGAGAGGGUUGAAGACCUCCCCACACCUAGCACUCAACGUUUACGGCUGGGACUAC
RNAcentral lists this unclassified non-coding RNA (381 nucleotides) under uncultured bacterium. RNAcentral's name for it is "contains 16S-23S intergenic spacer region". The record is from RNAcentral.